Molecule: long non-coding RNA, 482 nt
Organism: Dreissena polymorpha
Lineage: Eukaryota; Metazoa; Mollusca; Bivalvia; Myida; Dreissenidae
Exons: 3
Source: RefSeq, a predicted model, not a curated record
UGUACCCUAGCGCACGUGCAUCCGACAUCUACCUGGGGGAGAACACGUGCAUGGGCGUGGAAUCUUGGAAUCACGUGGUGUUUCAGCAGGGUCUCCGAGAAUGCCUCACGAGUGAAACGGUAAGGCUACUCGAACCAAAUCGUAUACGCAGAGAGAGACCCCGUUCACUCGUUUAUCAUUCGCCAUUACAACUGGACGGUCGGUGUAGAGUGUGACGUACAGAGGAACGAGAGCUCUUCCGGUCAUAUAGAGCACGAAAACAACAACCAUCAAGUUGUCCCGCUGGUGUCUGGCGCAAGACACUAUACGGUGAAAAUGACGUUCUACCUGGACCCGAACUUCCAGCAGCCGGUCCCCAGCAAUCCUCUGCGCGUGUCUGUGGGCACGGUCGUAUAUGUGAAGUUUUUCACCCAGGCCACUGACUCGACGGUGAAGAUGCGCGUUCAUACGUGCCCUCGCCGACGUCACCGGACCAUCUGCGA